Alosa sapidissima (American shad) is the source of this 299-nucleotide long non-coding RNA. RefSeq lists it as uncharacterized. The record is from RefSeq and is a predicted model, not a curated record. Lineage: Eukaryota; Metazoa; Chordata; Actinopteri; Clupeiformes; Clupeidae. The transcript is spliced from 3 exons.
AGCAGAGGCGAGUCAUGGGUUUGCUGUUGAUGGUAAUGAGCUGUGUGACCUCUUAUUCUGUGAUGGUCCUGAUCACAACUCAAGGGGUGUGUGGUCAGCAGUGGAGUGUCUCUUACCAACCUGAGAGUAUCUGUGCUUUUGUGGGGGAUUCAGUGGACAUGUCCUGCUCUUACACCUACCCCAGUGGGCUGAGUAUUAAGCAAGCUUACUGGACAAACAAAUACUAUGGGGAUUAUCCUGAUCUCCGUUAUGACGUAAACUAUAAAUCCAGGAUCCAUGUUAAUUGCAGCAGAGCUGGG